This 497-nucleotide ribosomal RNA is filed under the name uncultured bacterium. RNAcentral describes it as "partial 16S ribosomal RNA". It matches the Rfam family "Bacterial small subunit ribosomal RNA", at positions 28 to 507 of the family's 1533-position model. The record is from RNAcentral.
GAUGAACGCUGGCGGCGUGCCUAAUACAUGCAAGUCGAGCGAACAGAUGAGGAGCUUGCUCCUCUGACGUUGUCGCCGGACGGGUGAGUAACAUGUGGUUAACCUACCUCUAAGACUGGGAUAAUUUCGGGAAACCGGAGCUACUAACGGAUAAUAUAUUGAAUUGCGUUGUGCAAUCGUUGAAGUAGGUUUUUCUGACACUAAUAGCUGGCUACGGGUCGCAUCGGCUAGUUGGUAAGGUAACGGAUUAGCAAGGCAACGAGGGGGAACCGGCCCAAGCGGGUGAUCGGCCACAUGGGAACUGAGACAGAGUCCAGACUCCGACAGGAGGCAACAGUAGAGAAUCUUACGCAAGGCGGGAAAGCCGAACAGAGCAAAGCCGCGUAAAUGAUGAAGGUCUUAGGAUCGUAAAGCGCUGAAGUUAGGAAAGAAGAAAAGUUUAAGUAACUAUGCACGUCUUGACAGUACCGAAUCAGAAAGCCCCGGCUAACUACGUG